RNAcentral lists this ribosomal RNA (300 nucleotides) under uncultured Bacillus sp. RNAcentral's name for it is "bacterial SSU rRNA". It matches the Rfam family "Bacterial small subunit ribosomal RNA", at positions 496 to 795 of the family's 1533-position model. Lineage: Bacteria; Bacillati; Bacillota; Bacilli; Caryophanales; Bacillaceae. The record is from RNAcentral.
GGUCAGUACUGAGAAGGUGCCGCGGUAAUUCGUAUGCAGGAGGGUUUGGUUUGGAUGACUGGGCGUAAAGAGUGUGUAGGCGGUUCUCGAUGUUCGGUGUGAAAGCUGCCGGCUUAACUGGGAGGGGGCGCCGAAAACGGGAGGGCUCGAGGAUGGGAGGGGAAAGCGGAAUUCCUGGUGUAGCGGUGAAAUGCGUAGAUAUCAGGAGGAACACCUGCGGUGUAGACGGCUUUCUGGACCAUCACUGACGCUGAGACACGAAAGCGUGGGGAGCAAACAGGAUUAGAUACCCCAGUAGUC